CGUUUGGGUCUUACGCAAUAGGUCUCUGUGAACCGUGUCAGAUCAGGAAUGAAGCAGCACUAAGCAGAAUCGCCUGUGUGCCGUGAGGGUGCCUGGACUGAGU
This 103-nucleotide signal recognition particle RNA is filed under the name Blautia hydrogenotrophica DSM 10507. Its description in RNAcentral is "Bacterial signal recognition particle RNA". It matches the Rfam family "Bacterial small signal recognition particle RNA". Rfam says of the family: The signal recognition particle (SRP) is a universally conserved ribonucleoprotein involved in the co-translational targeting of proteins to membranes. Archaeal SRP consists of a 7S RNA and homologues of the eukaryotic SRP19 and SRP54 proteins. The record is from RNAcentral. Lineage: Bacteria; Bacillati; Bacillota; Clostridia; Lachnospirales; Lachnospiraceae.